UACGAGAGGCCCAAACGUUAUUCGGAAUUACUGGGCGUAAAGCGCGCGUAGGCGGCUCUUCAAGUCAGGCGUGAAAGCCCCGGGCUUAACCCGGGAAUAGCGCUUGAUACUGUUGGGCUUGAGUCCGGGAGAGGAUAGUGGAAUUCCCAGUGUAGAGGUGAAAUUCGUAGAUAUUGGGAAGAACACCAGUGGCGAAGGCGGCUAUCUGGACCGGAACUGACGCUGAGGCGCGAAAGCGUGGGGAGCAAACAGG
RNAcentral lists this ribosomal RNA (253 nucleotides) under uncultured bacterium. RNAcentral's name for it is "partial 16S ribosomal RNA". It matches the Rfam family "Bacterial small subunit ribosomal RNA", at positions 524 to 776 of the family's 1533-position model. The record is from RNAcentral.